ACGGGACCCGCACAAGCGGUGGAUGAUGUGGAUUAAUUCGAUGCAACGACGAAAACCUUACCUACCCUUGACAUGCCAGGAAUCCUGCAGAGAUGUGGGAGUGCUCGAAAGAGAACCUGGACACAGGUGCUGCAUGGCUGUCGUCAGCUCGUGUCGUGAGAUGUUGGGUUAAGUCCCCGCAACGAGCGCAACCCUUGUCAUUAGUUGCCAUCAUUAAGUUGGGCACUCUAAUGAGACUGCCGGUGACAAACCGGAGGAAGGUGGGGAUGACGUCAAGUCCUCAUGGCCCUUAUGGGUAGGGCUUCACACGUCAUACAAUGGUCGGUACAAAGGGUUGCCAAGCCGCGAGGUGGAGCCAAUCCCAGAAAGCCGAUCGUAGUCCGGAUCGGAGUCUGCAACUCGACUCCGUGAAGUCGGAAUCGCUAGUAAUCGUGGAUCAGCAUGCCACGGUGAAUACGUUCCCGGGUCUU
This 470-nucleotide ribosomal RNA is filed under the name uncultured Rhodocyclaceae bacterium. Its description in RNAcentral is "bacterial SSU rRNA". It matches the Rfam family "Bacterial small subunit ribosomal RNA", at positions 916 to 1381 of the family's 1533-position model. Lineage: Bacteria; Pseudomonadati; Pseudomonadota; Betaproteobacteria; Rhodocyclales; Rhodocyclaceae. The record is from RNAcentral.